GAUGAACGCUAGCGGGAGGCCUAACACAUGCAAGCCGAGCGGUAGAGUUCCUUCGGGAACUUGAGAGCGGCGUACGGGUGCGUAACACGUGUGCAACCUACCUUUAUCUGGGGGAUAGCCUUUCGAAAGGAAGAUUAAUACCCCAUAAUAUAAUGAUUGGCAUCAAUUAUUAUUGAAAACUCCGGUGGAUAGAGAUGGGCACGCGCAAGAUUAGAUAGUUGGUGAGGUAACGGCUCACCAAGCCAAUGAUCUUUAGGUGUACUGAGAGGGAGAUCCACCACACUGGUACUGAGACACGGACCAGACUCCGACGCGAGGCAGCAGUGUGGAAGAUUGGACAAUGGGUGAAAGCCUGAUCCAGCCAUCCCGCGUGAAGGAUGACGGUCCUAUGGAUUGUAAACUUCUGUUGUACAGGGAUAAACCUACUCUCGUGAGGGUAGCUGAAGGUACUGUACGAAUAAGCACCGGCUAACUCCGUG
RNAcentral lists this ribosomal RNA (479 nucleotides) under uncultured bacterium. RNAcentral's name for it is "partial 16S ribosomal RNA". It matches the Rfam family "Bacterial small subunit ribosomal RNA", at positions 28 to 507 of the family's 1533-position model. The record is from RNAcentral.